GACAGAGGUGCCGAGCGUUAGGCGGAAUCACUGGGCUUAAAGCGUGUGUAGGCGGAUCGUUAAGUACCUUGUGAAAUCCCACGGCUUAACCGUGGAACUGCUGGGUAUACUGGCGAUCUUGAGCCACCUAGGGGCAACCGGAACAAAUGGUGGAGCGGUGAAAUGCGUAGAUAUCGGAAAGAACACCAACGGCGAAAGCACUCUGCUGGGCCGACACUGACACUGAGAGACGAAAGCUAGGGGAGCGAAUGGG
Molecule: ribosomal RNA, 253 nt
Filed under: uncultured bacterium
Lineage: Bacteria
Description: partial 16S ribosomal RNA
Rfam family: Bacterial small subunit ribosomal RNA
Source: RNAcentral